RNAcentral lists this long non-coding RNA (996 nucleotides) under Brachypodium distachyon (stiff brome). Its description in RNAcentral is "long non-coding RNA (BDIS_LNC000133)". The record is from RNAcentral. Lineage: Eukaryota; Viridiplantae; Streptophyta; Magnoliopsida; Poales; Poaceae.
UCUUCGGUGAGGCCCGCGUUACCAUGCGUAAGACCGCUGCCAAGGCCAAGCCUGUCUCAUCGGGUAGCCCAUGGUACGGCUCCGACCGUGUGUUGUACCUAGGCCCGCUAUCCGGCGAGCCACCGAGCUAUCUGACUGGUGAGUUUCCUGGUGACUACGGGUGGGACACCGCCGGGCUCUCAGCCGACCCCGAGACAUUCGCCAAGAACCGCGAGCUGGAACUUAUCCACUCCCGCUGGGCUAUGCUCGGUGCCCUUGGAUGCGUCUUCCCCGAGCUGCUUGCCCGCAAUGGCGUCAAGUUCGGCGAGGCCGUCUGGUUCAAGGCUGGCUCACAGAUCUUCAGUGAGGGCGGGCUCGAUUACCUCGGCAACCCCAGCCUUGUCCACGCGCAAAGCAUCCUCGCCAUCUGGGCUUGCCAGGUCGUGCUCAUGGGUGCCGUUGAGGGAUAUCGUGUUGCUGGUGGCCCACUCGGUGAGAUCGUCGACCCUCUCUACCCAGGCGGUAGUUUCGACCCACUCGGUUUGGCCGACGACCCAGAGGCAUUCGCCGAGCUCAAGGUUAAGGAGCUCAAGAACGGCCGCCUCGCCAUGUUCUCCAUGUUCGGCUUCUUCGUACAGGCUAUCGUCACCGGCAAAGGACCACUCGAGAACCUCGCCGACCACCUUGCCGACCCGGUCAACAACAAUGCUUGGGCCUUCGCCACAAACUUCGUGCCGGGAAAGUAAGGCGGCCUGGCGCAUGUCUCUAGGAGGCCAUGCUCAGGGUGAAGUGGGCCUAGCUGGUUUCAGUUGUACUUGUACCACCCUGUUGUAAAUUACGAACAUUUCCAUGCAAAAGUUUGCUAGAUUUCAUGAAGGACACUUUGUGAUCGUCGUCCUGUUGUCCUGUUAAUUUCAUGCUUUGCUAUGACGAAUGCGUAAGCAAUGGAGGUGACAGUGAUAGUACUACUGUAAAAGAUGCCACUAUACAAACUGAAAGAAUUAAAAUCACCGGACC